Lethenteron reissneri (Far Eastern brook lamprey) is the source of this 4050-nucleotide long non-coding RNA. RefSeq lists it as uncharacterized. The record is from RefSeq and is a predicted model, not a curated record. NCBI's taxonomy places the organism in Eukaryota, Metazoa, Chordata, Hyperoartia, Petromyzontiformes, Petromyzontidae.
CACACUCACAUACUCACUCACACACACACCUCACAUGCUCACACACUCACACUCACUCACACUGACUCACACACACUCACACACACACUCACACCCACACACACACAAACACUCACACCCACACACACACUCACACACACACUCACACACACACUCACAUCCACACACACUCACACCCACACACACUCACACACUCACACACACACCCACACACCCACACACUCACUCACACACACACACUCACACACACACUCACACCCACAUACCCACUCACACCAACACACACUCACACACACACACUCACACACACUCAUACACACACCCACACACCCACACAUUCACCCGCCUCGCCCCGGUGGUCGGUCCAUCCGGCGACCUCCGCAAUGCACGUCCAGCGGUGCUGCUAAGCGUUCCGCCACAGCCGCGGCGGUGUCCGCCACUAGGUCCACUCAGCCUGAACCCGUGCUGCGUGCUCUGUGUUCCUGUAGGUGCCGGUGGAGACGCAGAGAAAAGCAAGCAGGUUCAUUUCAAGUCGGAGCAGGAGACCGCUCAAGAGGCUCGCAAGGUCAACCACAAGGAGGUCAUCUGAGCCGCGACAACGCAGCACCGCACACAUAACACGCACACUCACUCAACACACACACACUCAACACACACUCACUCAACACACACACACUCAACACACACACACUCAACACACACUCGCUCGCUCAACACACACUCACUCAACACACACUCGCUCAACACACCCACUCAACACACACUCGCUCAACACACCCACUCAACACACACUCGCUCGCUCAACACGCACUCACUCAACACACACUCACUCAACACGCACACUGAACACGCACACUGAACACGCACUCUCUCUCUCUCUCUGCGUCUCUCCCUGCGUCUCUCCCUGCAUCUCUCUCUUCUCUCUCUCUGCGUCUCCACGCGUCCCGGCGCAAGCGACGUCCGUCGCGCCUGCGUUAGUGGGAUGCCAGUGUCGCGAUAAUAAAAACAGCAAUCUACCAAAAAGCAAUGGCGGAAGGGAACCGAGGCAUGGGACGACGACUUGCGACGGCGACAGAUGGAGCGGGGAAGCAGGAGGAGGAGGCGCUAGAAUGUGGAGGUGACGGCGUGGAGACGUCAACAACAGGAGGGGCCGGCGCCACGUCGCUGAUCUCCACCUGCGCAGGGUCCUGACGUGGCGGCGGCCACGGGGAGCGGCCGGACAAGCGGCUGGGGGGGGGGGGGCAGGCCGGGAGAUGCACUUGGUUCAGCGGCGCCGGGUGGCGGUGGCGUUUGGUUGCGGUGCGCGGUGAUCGGUCGCGGUGAUGGGUCGCGGUGAUGGAUCGCGCCGAUGGGUCGCGGUGAUGGAUCGCGGUGAUCGGUCGUGGCGAUCGGUCGAGUCGAUCUAGGGGGGGGGAGGCCCAGGGGGACCGGUUUGGAUAUUUCGCCACCGUCGUUGGCCGUGAGCGGGAAUUGAACCUGGGGUGGCCGGGUUCGCAGCGCAGCACGCUAACCGCUGCGCCACCGCUCCCUGUUCCCAAGUGCAUGCAGUCGCACGCACACGUACACACGCGCGCACACGCACACACACGUACACACACACGCGCAUGAAUACAACAUGUGCGUGUCUAGAUUUUGUAAUCGAUGAGCAGUCGUUUAGUCCGAUGCCGCGCGUUUUGCUACCGUUCUUUUUACGUUGAAGUUCACGUUUCUUUUUUUAUAUAUUACAUCCAAAUUCUCCACACGGCUUUUUUUGCAUUUGUGGGACGUGAGUCCGAUUUACAACGGAGACAUUUACGGAGGCGGAAGAUCGCACAUCUCUCCACGUUUGGUUCACCCUCUCGUCAUUUAAACUCCCUGCCGCCUCCUCCGGGAGCGGUGGCGUGCGCCCAGCCCCGUGCACCACGUGUGACGAGCCCCUCACCACGUGCCCCUCACCACGUGCCCCUCACCACGUGGGGGCGCUCGGCCCACGUGACAUGAAACCUCACCACGUGGGGGCGCUUGCUCUGACGUACCCCUCGCCAUGUGUGACGUGCACCUCGCCCCGUGUGACGCGCCUCUCAUCACGUGACGAGCCCCUCACCACGUGAUGGCGCACGCCUCGCCUCGUGCGACGCGACGCGCCGGGUGCUGGGCCGGUUGCUCGCUGAGAUUAUUGACCGUCUGCCUUGGGGGGGGGAGGAGGGGGGGUUGAAGAAUAUCCACUAAUUAAUCACGACAACGGGAAACUUGAAUUAGACGAAUAAAGAGGCCAAGCUGCAGAGCAUCGCGGGUGGCCCCUCGUGACGGAGUCUUGUGCAGGAGCGGCAUGUCAACGUUGGCAACGCACGGCACAGCGUCGCGUGCCCCGCUCGCUGGGGAUGGAUGCGGAUAUGCGAGAAGGGUCGGAUCUGCGACGUUGCUGCGGCGUGUUACCUCGCGCUGUUUGGUGCUGCCGCCGCCAUGUCCAUUGCGGUGGUCGUGGCCGAAUCGUGGGCCGGGCAGUGCUUGGGUGGCGAACACUCGCGGCGCGUCACUCGGGAAUGUGGGCGAUGGCGUGGGAAGGGAUAACGGCGAGCGGCCAGCAACUAACGGUGGUGCCGUUGAUGUUGGAACACAUCGGGCGUUGUGUGACGAGGGUCUUGAAUCGAGCGGGGUUACUUAUUGCGGAUGAUGAUGAUGGGAGGAGGGAAUUCCUCGCGAGUGGAGAAGCGCGAGGGAAGAAGCGGAGAGGGAGGUGCCCUAACCUGCCGUUCAAUGCCGAAGAGGACAAGGGCUUCUGGGUAGCCCCCAUGAUGCAUUGCAGCCUCACUCAGCUCGUGGUGCUAUUGAUGGGACGACGCUCGUCGCUCAUUGCUUGACGUCCGUUAUUGAACCAUUUGUGAAGUCGUCGUUAGGUCGUGGGCACGACAGGGUAGCGGUGGUGGUAGCGUUAUAGUGGUGACAACACUCGCGCCUCGCAGUAAAAAGUCCUGGGUUCGACUCCCGACUGGGGCUCCUCUCUGUGAGUCGAGUUUGCAGUUUGCGUGUUCUCGCCCUGCUCUGCGUGGCUCCCUCCGGGCUGUCUGGUUUGCUCCUCGAGAUCAAAUACCCCCCCAUACAGUACCACUGGCGUAGGCCGAGAAACAAUCUCACUGCUGCGAAACUCGCGUGCCGAUCACUCCACGUGGGAUCACCCGCAGCACGGAACGUCUACCCCUCUACCGCAGACACUUGGCAGGACCCUCUUGAGCACGAGCCUUGAGACUCUUCGGUGAGACCGUCCCGGCUGAACGAGCGCCUUCUCUGAAUGUCAAUCAGCUCCAGCCACCUCGCCGCCCCCCCAGCGAGUCUCGUGACCUCGUUUUUAGGAGGGUCCUGCUUGCUUACAUCGACACGUUUGGCCGUCAAAUUCGUUUGGCGGCGGAGGUGGCAGUGGUGGUGGUGAUUGUGUGGGUGGUGGUGGUGUGGGUGGUGGUGGUGGUGUGGGUGGUGUGGGUGGUGGUGGUGGUGAUGAUUGUGUGGGUGGUGGUGAUUGUGUGGGUGGUGGUGGUGAUUUUGUGGGUGGUGGUGAUUGUGUGGGUGGUGGUGUGGGUGGUGGUGGUGGUGUGGGUGGUGGUGGUGGUGUGGGUGCUGGUGGUGAUUGUGUGGGUGGUGGUGGUGGUGGUGAGGUGGCCUUCCCUCUGUGGGAGCAAACCAGAGAGCCCUGGAGAAAGCCCCCCGGCACCACGCAAUGAAUUCUCACCGAACAUCUGUCGCCCGGUUAACCCAAACACCAAACCAUGUUUGAAGGCAAUUAUGAUUUCCAAGUAUUUGUUUUAUACGUAUUUUAUUUUAUACUUGCGUGCCUCUGUAUUAAGCCAGUUGCUUUAGUGUAUAAUUGUUAUAGUUUAAGCCGGUGUGGGUGUAACCGCCGCGAGUGAGUGCUCUGGGCUUGUAUGGACCGCGUUGGCGACACAAGGCUCGCUCCGGGCAGCACAGGAGGAGCAGGGUUGGUUUGUGUGUCUCUCCGUAUCCGCUGUUGUGUAACCGGCGCGGUCCGUGUAACGAAAGAAAAGCCACAAUAAAGCCACAACGGCGAUUGUGAACCCG